CUCGGCUUCGGCGGGGGCGUCGGCCGCGGUCAGGCCGCGGGCAUCGGCUUCGGCGGCGAUCAGUCGUUCGGUCACGAUCAGCUGGGUC
This 88-nucleotide transfer RNA is filed under the name Mycobacterium xenopi. Its description in RNAcentral is "tRNA-Ser(cag)". The record is from RNAcentral. Lineage: Bacteria; Bacillati; Actinomycetota; Actinomycetes; Mycobacteriales; Mycobacteriaceae.